AGGGUUAGGAAAUUGAGGCUGAACCCUUCCACCCCGAUGGUCAAAUGCCACCGGCCGACCGCCGGAGCGAAAGGGAGGUGCACUGGCCUUCCACCCCUGGAAUCUCCCUCCACCUUGAUUCCCAACUCCCGUCUGAUAUCCAUUCUGGCCUCGGCGACCAUACCGGGCCACUGUCCAUCCCUCAUCCAUCAUUUUGUUGUAGAUUUACGUAAUUUUUAUUUUUAUGAACUCUUUUUUUGUUUUUUUAUAUUUUUUAUUUUUGUAAUUUUUUUGUUGUUAUAGUAUAUAUUUUUGUAAUGUUUUUGUAUAUUUUGUUGUAUUUUUUCAGUUUUUAUUGUUUUUGUAUCCGUUUCUUAGUUUUCUGUCCUUGUCAUAAAGUUACUGAUUUUCCUGUCGCCUUUGCUAUAUAAUUAAUCAAUGUUCUAUUGUCUAGUCUAUAAAUUGUAUGUUCUACAAUGAACUAUCAGGUAUAGUAUUGAUAAUGUAUUGUAAAGAUGCCAAAAGAAUAUUUUUUUCAAAAAAAAUUUUUUUAAUAAAGAAAUAAAAAAUAAUAAAGAAACUAUCAAACAAAAGUUGUUUUCAUUCAAUUGUACUUGUAUUUAUCCAAUUAUAUGUUUGUGUGUGCCAACAACAACGUUUCGGCUUAUGUCAAGCCUUCUUCAGGUUUUAGCACACAAUUUCUAUGAUCCUACUGUUGUAGCAAGAGCUGUUACUCGUUCAAAAACAAACAUGAAAUGACCGGAUUUGGCUGGUUCCCUAUUUAUAGCCUCUGUCUCAGUGACUCCUCCUUCGUCUUUACCAGCGUAUUUAUUCCAAUGCCCUUCAUUCACCAGUCUUAUUCUUAUGUGCAAUUAGUGUAAAUAGUGUAUAUAUAUAUAUAUAUGUUUUUAAUUAAUUAAUUAAUUAAUUUAAUCCUGUAUAUAGUAUGUUAGUGAUUAUUAUUUAGUUUUUUAACUCUUUAAUUCUAGAAUUCCUUAAAUAAACAAAUGAAUAACUGAUCGAUUAUAGAAUUGAAAUUAGGGUUAAUUAGGGUUAAUUAGGGUUAAUUGAAAAUUAGGUUGAGUCAAUUUUAGUGUUAUCAUCAAUUAGGGUGGGAUCAAAUGGUUAAGGUUAGGGUAAGGUUAGAAUUAGGAUUAAUCCAAUUAGGGUUGAGUGUGAUUAGGAUUAAUUAAAAAUUAGGGUUAACAAAUGGUUAAGGUUAGGGUUAAAUCAAAGUUAGGGUUAGUAAAUCUAGGGUUGGGAUUAAUUUAACAUUGGGUAAACUAGGGUUACUUACAAUUAGGGUUAACCAAUCAAGGGUUAACUAAAAUUAGGGUUGGAUGAAAUGGUUAAGAUUAGGGUUAGAUUAGAAGUUGGAUCAAUUAAAUUAUGAUUAUAUUAAUUUAACAUUGGGUAAACUAGGGUUACUUACAAUUAGGGUUAACCAAUUAAGGGUUGACUGAAAUUAGGGUUGGAUGAAAUGGUUAAGAUUAGGGUUAGAUUAGAAAUUGGAGUCAUUGAAUUAUGGUUAAGUGGAAUUAGGGUAAAAUUAAAAUUAGGGUGGACAAAUGGUUAAGGUUAGGGUAAGGUUAAAAUUAGGAUUAAUCCAAUUAGGGUUGAGUGUGAUUAGGAUUAAUUAAAAAUUAGGGUUAACAAAUGGUUAAGGUUAGGGUUAAAUCAAAGUUAGGGUUAGUAAAUCUAGGGUUGGGAUUAGGUUAACAUUGGGUAAACUAGGGUUACUUACAGUUUGGUGAAAUGGUUAAGGUUAGGGUUAAAUUAGAAUUUGGAUUAGUUGAAUUAGGGUUAAAUGGAAUCAGGGUAUAAUUAAAAUUUAAAUUAGGGUGAAGAUUAGAGUUAAAUUAGAAUUAGGAUUAUUUAGGGUUAACUGAAUUUAGGUUGGGAUCAAAUGGUUAGGUUAAAUAAGCAGUAAUAUGCAUGUGUAUCUAAAUAAAUUUUCUAAUCCUAAAAAAUGUUUUUGUAAUUUUCUUCUGUCAAUUGUCCCUCAUAAUUUCAACCCAUCUUUUUAUUUAACCCAUAUGGUUGUUUUGUCGCUAAUUUAUGUAUCCAUUGUCUUUCUCUACAUUUUCUUUCUAAAUCUGUCCAAUUAAAGUUUUUUUGUAAUCCAGCCAUUCGUAAUGACUCUAAUCCAUGUAUUAGGAAAUGCUGUACCAGGGGUGUGUCCAUUUCUUUUUUAUUUUUAAUAUUAUACCUAUGCUGUGUAAUUCGUGCUGAUAACGAAUUCUUUGUUUCCCCUACAUAUUUAAUCCCACAUUUAUUACAAAUUAUUAAAUAAAUACAAUUUGUGGACCUCGCAGUAAAUGUUUGUUCAAUUUUUAUGAUAGUUUUCUCCACUGUGUUUUUGAUAAAUUUUAGUUUCAACAAUUGUUUAUCUAGUAAUAAUUGUUUUUGUGUUAAUAGUGAUGGUAAUUUGGCUCUGACUAACAAAUCUUUCAAAUUCUUAUUCCUCCUAUAUGCCGAGAUUAUGUUAAAUUUUGGGAUUCCUGUAGUCGUUUCCGAAAUUUCCUGCAAAUUUCGUUUUAUUUUAUUGUGUAGUACCUUGCCUACUGUACAGAAAUUUGUAAUGAGAGGAAUAACAUUUUCUUUCGUUUGUUUUUUGUUGAGAAAUGUUUUCAGAUGAUUUCUUAAAUAUGAUCUCGAAUACCCUCUUUUUCGUAGGGUAUCAAAUAAGAUCUUCACCGCUUCCCUAAAAUCCUCCUCCCUCGUGCAGAUUCGGUGAAAGCGCAGAAUCUGGGAUUUUACAAUUCCUUUAAAAGUAUGAUUUGGAUGGAAGCUAAAUUUAUGCAAUAAUGCGUGAGUAUCUGUUGCCUUGAAAUACACUUUAAUAUCCAAUCGAUGAUUUUCCUGAAAAUUGGGUCCCUUAAAUAUUGUAGUAUCUAAAAAGUCAAUAGAAUUUUGCUUAAUUUCUGCUUUAAGUUUAAUUGAUGGAUCCUGUGAAUUUAGUGUUUCCUUGAAAUUUUCAAAUUCUUGUUUAGUCCCUAUCCAUAAUCCCCAAAUGUCGUCCAAAUACCGUAGAUAACUAGCCGGUUUCUUUUCACAUUUGGCCAGUGCUUUUUCUUCCCAGUUGGCCAUAAAAAUAUUGGCAUAUGCUGGAGCAAAUUUUUUACCCAUUGCUGUUCCCUUAAUUUGCAAAUAAUAUUUUUCAUUGAAUACAAAGUCAUUUCUAGUUAAAUUAAUUUCUAAUAAUUGUAAUAAUUCAUCAUCUGGUCUGUUUGGAUCUGGGUAUUUCUGGAAAAUUUGUUUUACACAUUCAAUUCCUGCCGGAAUAGGAAUAUUUGUAUAUAAACUGUUAACAUCCAUCGAAAAAAACCAAAAGUCCGAGGUUAUUGUAACGUCUUUUACCAUCUCUAUAAAAUGGUAUGUGUCUCUCACAUAGGAUGGAUGUUUGAUCGAAAGUGGAUUUAGAUAAUGAUCCAAAUAUUCUGCGGUGAAAUAUGUAUCACUCCCACAGUCUGAUACUAUGGGUCUCCCUGGGGGAAUUUCAAAUGGAAUUGUCCAUUUCUCCGGACUUUUAUGAAUUUUUGGGAGAAUAUAAAAUCUCCUCUCUCUUGGUUCUGAGGUUCCAAGUAGGUACUGUUUUUGUUUUCCAUUGAUAAAUUUUUUCUUUUUUAGAUUGUUUAUAAUUUCCUUUAUUUUUGGUAGUGUUUCUCUAUAAAUGGGUUUUUCCAAUUUUUUGUAAUAUUCUGUGUCAUUCAAUUGUCUUUCUACUUCCAUUAUAUAUUGUUCUCUACUUAGAAUCACUACUGACGAGCCUUUAUCAGCCGGUUUAAUGACUAUAUGUUUUGUAUGCAUUAAUUCUCGUAAGGCUUUUACUUCUUCUACAGACAUAUUGUAUUUUUCAGUAGUCGGUAAGUAGUGUUUUUUUAUUGUCUGCCAAUCUUUUUGUAUUAAUUGUCCCACUUCUGGUGGUAAUUUAUCCAUAGGUGGUUUCCAAUCAGAAGAGCCUGUAAAUGGUGGUCUCUCCUUACCCAUCGAAUCCUUAAAGACUUAGAGGCUGACCAAGUUUAAAGUCUUCCCCCAGUGGUCAAGCAUAGCGGUCGCCGUUUCUUUUGUCCAGUGGAUUCCAUCCUCCUCCACCUGGAAUUGGUCCUCAGGUAAGAGAGGAAGAUCUUCUGGUGGUACCGUUUUCUCCAUCAGUUGGGAUUGUGGUGGUAUGAUGCGAGUGGAGGACUCCGGGAGAACCUCCUCCUCUUCUACCUCUUCAUCUGCCCGCCAUUGGUUCAAUACCUGGGUAUUGUUUCGUCAACAGGUUCCAUUUGAGGUCUCACAAUGAGAUCCUCUUCCACGCCACCUUGGAGCCAGGAUUCUACCCUAGCCUUUCGUGAGGUCCUCGGCGUCUCUAUAAAUUUUUCCAUUGGAGAUCGAUGCACUAAAGCUCCAUCUGUGAUCUCUGGUAGCCUCAGUGUCAUGAUAUCGUCAUCGUCUGAUGUUCCCAUGAGUGUCAUUUCAGGUCUCUCCAAUAUGCUAACCUCCUGAGGAGAUUCAGUUCCGAUCGGUGUCGUGUUUUGAAUCGGCCCAGUGGGGACCAUGGGCGUCGGCUGUGAUUCUGGCACAUUCUGGAUCACUGGUGCAAUAUUCUGGAUCACCGGUGCAAUAUUUUGUAUAGCCUGCUCUACGGGUGGGCUCCGGGGAUGAAUUUUUUCUUUAAUCAAAUUCUCCGUUUGAUCAAUCACCUGUUGUUUCACAUGUGGUAAUUUAUUCUUGGCCCAUCUGAUUGCCACCGUGUAGGCCUUUUUCCAGUCCGGGGUAAUAAAAUCCACAAUUUCAUUGAGCCAUUCCUCCAGGCAAGCCUGGUAGUGUUGAAAUAAUAUCAAACAUGUGGUAUAGCCCCAAUUUUUUGCGUUUCCCAUGAUGAGGUCCAUUGUUUGGCCUUUGGGGAAUGCCGGGUUAAUCAUCCCCAUUAAUACCUCGACCAUUCUUUCGAUCAUCUUGGGUUGUGGUUUCCCCCCUGUUGGGUCCACAUUCUGUAAGUGGUGUACCACUUUCAGAAUAUUAUACAAUUUUUGGACCAGCCUUUUAAACCUGGGGUCAGCCGGUUGUAGCCCUCUUUCAAAUCCCCCAUUCCUUUGGGGAGGUCUCCUUGGGUCUGGUCCCAUCCAACCACGGCUCACUGCGGCCGCAUAUGAAUAAGGACGGGAAUCCGGUUUACGGAAAGACCAUGGGGGAGGCACUGGCGGGUUAGGAAAUUGAGGCUGAACCCUUCCACCCCGAUGGUCAAAUGCCACCGGCCGACCGCCGGAGCGAAAGGGAGGUGCACUGGCCUUCCACCCCUGGAAUCUCCCUCCACCUUGAUUCCCAACUCCCGUCUGAUAUCCAUUCUGGCCUCGGCGACCAUACCGGGCCACUGUCCAUCCCUCAUCCAUCAUUUUGUUGUAGAUUUACGUAAUUUUUAUUUUUAUGAACUCUUUUUUUGUUUUUUUAUAUUUUUUAUUUUUGUAAUUUUUUUGUUGUUAUAGUAUAUAUUUUUGUAAUGUUUUUGUAUAUUUUGUUGUAUUUUUUCAGUUUUUAUUGUUUUUGUAUCCGUUUCUUAGUUUUCUGUCCUUGUCAUAAAGUUACUGAUUUUCCUGUCGCCUUUGCUAUAUAAUUAAUCAAUGUUCUAUUGUCUAGUCUAUAAAUUGUAUGUUCUACAAUGAACUAUCAGGUAUAGUAUUGAUAAUGUAUUGUAAAGAUGCCAAAAGAAUAUUUUUUUCAAAAAAAAUUUUUUUAAUAAAGAAAUAAAAAAUAAUAAAGAAACUAUCAAACAAAAGUUGUUUUCAUUCAAUUGUACUUGUAUUUAUCCAAUUAUAUGUUUGUGUGUGCCAACAACAACGUUUCGGCUUAUGUCAAGCCUUCUUCAGGUUUUAGCACACAAUUUCUAUGAUCCUACUGUUGUAGCAAGAGCUGUUACUCGUUCAAAAACAAACAUGAAAUGACCGGAUUUGGCUGGUUCCCUAUUUAUAGCCUCUGUCUCAGUGACUCCUCCUUCGUCUUUACCAGCGUAUUUAUUCCAAUGCCCUUCAUUCACCAGUCUUAUUCUUAUGUGCAAUUAGUGUAAAUAGUGUAUAUAUAUAUAUAUAUGUUUUUAAUUAAUUAAUUAAUUAAUUUAAUCCUGUAUAUAGUAUGUUAGUGAUUAUUAUUUAGUUUUUUAACUCUUUAAUUCUAGAAUUCCUUAAAUAAACAAAUGAAUAACUGAUCGAUUAUAGAAUUGAAAUUAGGGUUAAUUAGGGUUAAUUGAAAAUUAGGUUGAGUCAAUUUUAGUGUUAUCAUCAAUUAGGGUGGGAUCAAAUGGUUAAGGUUAGGGUAAGGUUAGAAUUAGGAUUAAUCCAAUUAGGGUUGAGUGUGAUUAGGAUUAAUUAAAAAUUAGGGUUAACAAAUGGUUAAGGUUAGGGUUAAAUCAAAGUUAGGGUUAGUAAAUCUAGGGUUGGGAUUAAUUUAACAUUGGGUAAACUAGGGUUACUUACAAUUAGGGUUAACCAAUCAAGGGUUAACUAAAAUUAGGGUUGGAUGAAAUGGUUAAGAUUAGGGUUAGAUUAGAAGUUGGAUCAAUUAAAUUAUGAUUAUAUUAAUUUAACAUUGGGUAAACUAGGGUUACUUACAAUUAGGGUUAACCAAUUAAGGGUUGACUGAAAUUAGGGUUGGAUGAAAUGGUUAAGAUUAGGGUUAGAUUAGAAAUUGGAGUCAUUGAAUUAUGGUUAAGUGGAAUUAGGGUAAAAUUAAAAUUAGGGUGGACAAAUGGUUAAGGUUAGGGUAAGGUUAAAAUUAGGAUUAAUCCAAUUAGGGUUGAGUGUGAUUAGGAUUAAUUAAAAAUUAGGGUUAACAAAUGGUUAAGGUUAGGGUUAAAUCAAAGUUAGGGUUAGUAAAUCUAGGGUUGGGAUUAGGUUAACAUUGGGUAAACUAGGGUUACUUACAGUUUGGUGAAAUGGUUAAGGUUAGGGUUAAAUUAGAAUUUGGAUUAGUUGAAUUAGGGUUAAAUGGAAUCAGGGUAUAAUUAAAAUUUAAAUUAGGGUGAAGAUUAGAGUUAAAUUAGAAUUAGGAUUAUUUAGGGUUAACUGAAUUUAGGUUGGGAUCAAAUGGUUAGGUUAAAUAAGCAGUAAUAUGCAUGUGUAUCUAAAUAAAUUUUCUAAUCCUAAAAAAUGUUUUUGUAAUUUUCUUCUGUCAAUUGUCCCUCAUAAUUUCAACCCAUCUUUUUAUUUAACCCAUAUGGUUGUUUUGUCGCUAAUUUAUGUAUCCAUUGUCUUUCUCUACAUUUUCUUUCUAAAUCUGUCCAAUUAAAGUUUUUUUGUAAUCCAGCCAUUCGUAAUGACUCUAAUCCAUGUAUUAGGAAAUGCUGUACCAGGGGUGUGUCCAUUUCUUUUUUAUUUUUAAUAUUAUACCUAUGCUGUGUAAUUCGUGCUGAUAACGAAUUCUUUGUUUCCCCUACAUAUUUAAUCCCACAUUUAUUACAAAUUAUUAAAUAAAUACAAUUUGUGGACCUCGCAGUAAAUGUUUGUUCAAUUUUUAUGAUAGUUUUCUCCACUGUGUUUUUGAUAAAUUUUAGUUUCAACAAUUGUUUAUCUAGUAAUAAUUGUUUUUGUGUUAAUAGUGAUGGUAAUUUGGCUCUGACUAACAAAUCUUUCAAAUUCUUAUUCCUCCUAUAUGCCGAGAUUAUGUUAAAUUUUGGGAUUCCUGUAGUCGUUUCCGAAAUUUCCUGCAAAUUUCGUUUUAUUUUAUUGUGUAGUACCUUGCCUACUGUACAGAAAUUUGUAAUGAGAGGAAUAACAUUUUCUUUCGUUUGUUUUUUGUUGAGAAAUGUUUUCAGAUGAUUUCUUAAAUAUGAUCUCGAAUACCCUCUUUUUCGUAGGGUAUCAAAUAAGAUCUUCACCGCUUCCCUAAAAUCCUCCUCCCUCGUGCAGAUUCGGUGAAAGCGCAGAAUCUGGGAUUUUACAAUUCCUUUAAAAGUAUGAUUUGGAUGGAAGCUAAAUUUAUGCAAUAAUGCGUGAGUAUCUGUUGCCUUGAAAUACACUUUAAUAUCCAAUCGAUGAUUUUCCUGAAAAUUGGGUCCCUUAAAUAUUGUAGUAUCUAAAAAGUCAAUAGAAUUUUGCUUAAUUUCUGCUUUAAGUUUAAUUGAUGGAUCCUGUGAAUUUAGUGUUUCCUUGAAAUUUUCAAAUUCUUGUUUAGUCCCUAUCCAUAAUCCCCAAAUGUCGUCCAAAUACCGUAGAUAACUAGCCGGUUUCUUUUCACAUUUGGCCAGUGCUUUUUCUUCCCAGUUGGCCAUAAAAAUAUUGGCAUAUGCUGGAGCAAAUUUUUUACCCAUUGCUGUUCCCUUAAUUUGCAAAUAAUAUUUUUCAUUGAAUACAAAGUCAUUUCUAGUUAAAUUAAUUUCUAAUAAUUGUAAUAAUUCAUCAUCUGGUCUGUUUGGAUCUGGGUAUUUCUGGAAAAUUUGUUUUACACAUUCAAUUCCUGCCGGAAUAGGAAUAUUUGUAUAUAAACUGUUAACAUCCAUCGAAAAAAACCAAAAGUCCGAGGUUAUUGUAACGUCUUUUACCAUCUCUAUAAAAUGGUAUGUGUCUCUCACAUAGGAUGGAUGUUUGAUCGAAAGUGGAUUUAGAUAAUGAUCCAAAUAUUCUGCGGUGAAAUAUGUAUCACUCCCACAGUCUGAUACUAUGGGUCUCCCUGGGGGAAUUUCAAAUGGAAUUGUCCAUUUCUCCGGACUUUUAUGAAUUUUUGGGAGAAUAUAAAAUCUCCUCUCUCUUGGUUCUGAGGUUCCAAGUAGGUACUGUUUUUGUUUUCCAUUGAUAAAUUUUUUCUUUUUUAGAUUGUUUAUAAUUUCCUUUAUUUUUGGUAGUGUUUCUCUAUAAAUGGGUUUUUCCAAUUUUUUGUAAUAUUCUGUGUCAUUCAAUUGUCUUUCUACUUCCAUUAUAUAUUGUUCUCUACUUAGAAUCACUACUGACGAGCCUUUAUCAGCCGGUUUAAUGACUAUAUGUUUUGUAUGCAUUAAUUCUCGUAAGGCUUUUACUUCUUCUACAGACAUAUUGUAUUUUUCAGUAGUCGGUAAGUAGUGUUUUUUUAUUGUCUGCCAAUCUUUUUGUAUUAAUUGUCCCACUUCUGGUGGUAAUUUAUCCAUAGGUGGUUUCCAAUCAGAAGAGCCUGUAAAUGGUGGUCUCUCCUUACCCAUCGAAUCCUUAAAGACUUAGAGGCUGACCAAGUUUAAAGUCUUCCCCCAGUGGUCAAGCAUAGCGGUCGCCGUUUCUUUUGUCCAGUGGAUUCCAUCCUCCUCCACCUGGAAUUGGUCCUCAGAUCUUCUGGUGGUACCGUUUUCUCCAUCAGUUGGGAUUGUGGUGGUAUGAUGCGAGUGGAGGACUCCGGGAGAACCUCCUCCUCUUCUACCUCUUCAUCUGCCCGCCAUUGGUUCAAUACCUGGGUAUUGUUUCGUCAACAGGUUCCAUUUGAGGUCUCACAAUGAGAUCCUCUUCCACGCCACCUUGGAGCCAGGAUUCUACCCUAGCCUUUCGUGAGGUCCUCGGCGUCUCUAUAAAUUUUUCCAUUGGAGAUCGAUGCACUAAAGCUCCAUCUGUGAUCUCUGGUAGCCUCAGUGUCAUGAUAUCGUCAUCGUCUGAUGUUCCCAUGAGUGUCAUUUCAGGUCUCUCCAAUAUGCUAACCUCCUGAGGAGAUUCAGUUCCGAUCGGUGUCGUGUUUUGAAUCGGCCCAGUGGGGACCAUGGGCGUCGGCUGUGAUUCUGGCACAUUCUGGAUCACUGGUGCAAUAUUCUGGAUCACCGGUGCAAUAUUUUGUAUAGCCUGCUCUACGGGUGGGCUCCGGGGAUGAAUUUUUUCUUUAAUCAAAUUCUCCGUUUGAUCAAUCACCUGUUGUUUCACAUGUGGUAAUUUAUUCUUGGCCCAUCUGAUUGCCACCGUGUAGGCCUUUUUCCAGUCCGGGGUAAUAAAAUCCACAAUUUCAUUGAGCCAUUCCUCCAGGCAAGCCUGGUAGUGUUGAAAUAAUAUCAAACAUGUGGUAUAGCCCCAAUUUUUUGCGUUUCCCAUGAUGAGGUCCAUUGUUUGGCCUUUGGGGAAUGCCGGGUUAAUCAUCCCCAUUAAUACCUCGACCAUUCUUUCGAUCAUCUUGGGUUGUGGUUUCCCCCCUGUUGGGUCCACAUUCUGUAAGUGGUGUACCACUUUCAGAAUAUUAUACAAUUUUUGGACCAGCCUUUUAAACCUGGGGUCAGCCGGUUGUAGCCCUCUUUCAAAUCCCCCAUUCCUUUGGGGAGGUCUCCUUGGGUCUGGUCCCAUCCAACCACGGCUCACUGCGGCCGCAUAUGAAUAAGGACGGGAAUCCGGUUUACGGAAAGACCAUGGGGGAGGCACUGGCGGGUUAGGAAAUUGAGGCUGAACCCUUCCACCCCGAUGGUCAAAUGCCACCGGCCGACCGCCGGAGCGAAAGGGAGGUGCACUGGCCUUCCACCCCUGGAAUCUCCCUCCACCUUGAUUCCCAACUCCCGUCUGAUAUCCAUUCUGGCCUCGGCGACCAUACCGGGCCACUGUCCAUCCCUCAUCCAUCAUUUUGUUGUAGAUUUACGUAAUUUUUAUUUUUAUGAACUCUUUUUUUGUUUUUUUAUAUUUUUUAUUUUUGUAAUUUUUUUGUUGUUAUAGUAUAUAUUUUUGUAAUGUUUUUGUAUAUUUUGUUGUAUUUUUUCAGUUUUUAUUGUUUUUGUAUCCGUUUCUUAGUUUUCUGUCCUUGUCAUAAAGUUACUGAUUUUCCUGUCGCCUUUGCUAUAUAAUUAAUCAAUGUUCUAUUGUCUAGUCUAUAAAUUGUAUGUUCUACAAUGAACUAUCAGGUAUAGUAUUGAUAAUGUAUUGUAAAGAUGCCAAAAGAAUAUUUUUUUCAAAAAAAAUUUUUUUAAUAAAGAAAUAAAAAAUAAUAAAGAAACUAUCAAACAAAAGUUGUUUUCAUUCAAUUGUACUUGUAUUUAUCCAAUUAUAUGUUUGUGUGUGCCAACAACAACGUUUCGGCUUAUGUCAAGCCUUCUUCAGGUUUUAGCACACAAUUUCUAUGAUCCUACUGUUGUAGCAAGAGCUGUUACUCGUUCAAAAACAAACAUGAAAUGACCGGAUUUGGCUGGUUCCCUAUUUAUAGCCUCUGUCUCAGUGACUCCUCCUUCGUCUUUACCAGCGUAUUUAUUCCAAUGCCCUUCAUUCACCAGUCUUAUUCUUAUGUGCAAUUAGUGUAAAUAGUGUAUAUAUAUAUAUAUAUGUUUUUAAUUAAUUAAUUAAUUAAUUUAAUCCUGUAUAUAGUAUGUUAGUGAUUAUUAUUUAGUUUUUUAACUCUUUAAUUCUAGAAUUCCUUAAAUAAACAAAUGAAUAACUGAUCGAUUAUAGAAUUGAAAUUAGGGUUAAUUAGGGUUAAUUAGGGUUAAUUGAAAAUUAGGUUGAGUCAAUUUUAGUGUUAUCAUCAAUUAGGGUGGGAUCAAAUGGUUAAGGUUAGGGUAAGGUUAGAAUUAGGAUUAAUCCAAUUAGGGUUGAGUGUGAUUAGGAUUAAUUAAAAAUUAGGGUUAACAAAUGGUUAAGGUUAGGGUUAAAUCAAAGUUAGGGUUAGUAAAUCUAGGGUUGGGAUUAAUUUAACAUUGGGUAAACUAGGGUUACUUACAAUUAGGGUUAACCAAUCAAGGGUUAACUAAAAUUAGGGUUGGAUGAAAUGGUUAAGAUUAGGGUUAGAUUAGAAGUUGGAUCAAUUAAAUUAUGAUUAUAUUAAUUUAACAUUGGGUAAACUAGGGUUACUUACAAUUAGGGUUAACCAAUUAAGGGUUGACUGAAAUUAGGGUUGGAUGAAAUGGUUAAGAUUAGGGUUAGAUUAGAAAUUGGAGUCAUUGAAUUAUGGUUAAGUGGAAUUAGGGUAAAAUUAAAAUUAGGGUGGACAAAUGGUUAAGGUUAGGGUAAGGUUAAAAUUAGGAUUAAUCCAAUUAGGGUUGAGUGUGAUUAGGAUUAAUUAAAAAUUAGGGUUAACAAAUGGUUAAGGUUAGGGUUAAAUCAAAGUUAGGGUUAGUAAAUCUAGGGUUGGGAUUAGGUUAACAUUGGGUAAACUAGGGUUACUUACAGUUUGGUGAAAUGGUUAAGGUUAGGGUUAAAUUAGAAUUUGGAUUAGUUGAAUUAGGGUUAAAUGGAAUCAGGGUAUAAUUAAAAUUUAAAUUAGGGUGAAGAUUAGAGUUAAAUUAGAAUUAGGAUUAUUUAGGGUUAACUGAAUUUAGGUUGGGAUCAAAUGGUUAGGUUAAAUAAGCAGUAAUAUGCAUGUGUAUCUAAAUAAAUUUUCUAAUCCUAAAAAAUGUUUUUGUAAUUUUCUUCUGUCAAUUGUCCCUCAUAAUUUCAACCCAUCUUUUUAUUUAACCCAUAUGGUUGUUUUGUCGCUAAUUUAUGUAUCCAUUGUCUUUCUCUACAUUUUCUUUCUAAAUCUGUCCAAUUAAAGUUUUUUUGUAAUCCAGCCAUUCGUAAUGACUCUAAUCCAUGUAUUAGGAAAUGCUGUACCAGGGGUGUGUCCAUUUCUUUUUUAUUUUUAAUAUUAUACCUAUGCUGUGUAAUUCGUGCUGAUAACGAAUUCUUUGUUUCCCCUACAUAUUUAAUCCCACAUUUAUUACAAAUUAUUAAAUAAAUACAAUUUGUGGACCUCGCAGUAAAUGUUUGUUCAAUUUUUAUGAUAGUUUUCUCCACUGUGUUUUUGAUAAAUUUUAGUUUCAACAAUUGUUUAUCUAGUAAUAAUUGUUUUUGUGUUAAUAGUGAUGGUAAUUUGGCUCUGACUAACAAAUCUUUCAAAUUCUUAUUCCUCCUAUAUGCCGAGAUUAUGUUAAAUUUUGGGAUUCCUGUAGUCGUUUCCGAAAUUUCCUGCAAAUUUCGUUUUAUUUUAUUGUGUAGUACCUUGCCUACUGUACAGAAAUUUGUAAUGAGAGGAAUAACAUUUUCUUUCGUUUGUUUUUUGUUGAGAAAUGUUUUCAGAUGAUUUCUUAAAUAUGAUCUCGAAUACCCUCUUUUUCGUAGGGUAUCAAAUAAGAUCUUCACCGCUUCCCUAAAAUCCUCCUCCCUCGUGCAGAUUCGGUGAAAGCGCAGAAUCUGGGAUUUUACAAUUCCUUUAAAAGUAUGAUUUGGAUGGAAGCUAAAUUUAUGCAAUAAUGCGUGAGUAUCUGUUGCCUUGAAAUACACUUUAAUAUCCAAUCGAUGAUUUUCCUGAAAAUUGGGUCCCUUAAAUAUUGUAGUAUCUAAAAAGUCAAUAGAAUUUUGCUUAAUUUCUGCUUUAAGUUUAAUUGAUGGAUCCUGUGAAUUUAGUGUUUCCUUGAAAUUUUCAAAUUCUUGUUUAGUCCCUAUCCAUAAUCCCCAAAUGUCGUCCAAAUACCGUAGAUAACUAGCCGGUUUCUUUUCACAUUUGGCCAGUGCUUUUUCUUCCCAGUUGGCCAUAAAAAUAUUGGCAUAUGCUGGAGCAAAUUUUUUACCCAUUGCUGUUCCCUUAAUUUGCAAAUAAUAUUUUUCAUUGAAUACAAAGUCAUUUCUAGUUAAAUUAAUUUCUAAUAAUUGUAAUAAUUCAUCAUCUGGUCUGUUUGGAUCUGGGUAUUUCUGGAAAAUUUGUUUUACACAUUCAAUUCCUGCCGGAAUAGGAAUAUUUGUAUAUAAACUGUUAACAUCCAUCGAAAAAAACCAAAAGUCCGAGGUUAUUGUAACGUCUUUUACCAUCUCUAUAAAAUGGUAUGUGUCUCUCACAUAGGAUGGAUGUUUGAUCGAAAGUGGAUUUAGAUAAUGAUCCAAAUAUUCUGCGGUGAAAUAUGUAUCACUCCCACAGUCUGAUACUAUGGGUCUCCCUGGGGGAAUUUCAAAUGGAAUUGUCCAUUUCUCCGGACUUUUAUGAAUUUUUGGGAGAAUAUAAAAUCUCCUCUCUCUUGGUUCUGAGGUUCCAAGUAGGUACUGUUUUUGUUUUCCAUUGAUAAAUUUUUUCUUUUUUAGAUUGUUUAUAAUUUCCUUUAUUUUUGGUAGUGUUUCUCUAUAAAUGGGUUUUUCCAAUUUUUUGUAAUAUUCUGUGUCAUUCAAUUGUCUUUCUACUUCCAUUAUAUAUUGUUCUCUACUUAGAAUCACUACUGACGAGCCUUUAUCAGCCGGUUUAAUGACUAUAUGUUUUGUAUGCAUUAAUUCUCGUAAGGCUUUUACUUCUUCUACAGACAUAUUGUAUUUUUCAGUAGUCGGUAAGUAGUGUUUUUUUAUUGUCUGCCAAUCUUUUUGUAUUAAUUGUCCCACUUCUGGUGGUAAUUUAUCCAUAGGUGGUUUCCAAUCAGAAGAGCCUGUAAAUGGUGGUCUCUCCUUACCCAUCGAAUCCUUAAAGACUUAGAGGCUGACCAAGUUUAAAGUCUUCCCCCAGUGGUCAAGCAUAGCGGUCGCCGUUUCUUUUGUCCAGUGGAUUCCAUCCUCCUCCACCUGGAAUUGGUCCUCAGAUCUUCUGGUGGUACCGUUUUCUCCAUCAGUUGGGAUUGUGGUGGUAUGAUGCGAGUGGAGGACUCCGGGAGAACCUCCUCCUCUUCUACCUCUUCAUCUGCCCGCCAUUGGUUCAAUACCUGGGUAUUGUUUCGUCAACAGGUUCCAUUUGAGGUCUCACAAUGAGAUCCUCUUCCACGCCACCUUGGAGCCAGGAUUCUACCCUAGCCUUUCGUGAGGUCCUCGGCGUCUCUAUAAAUUUUUCCAUUGGAGAUCGAUGCACUAAAGCUCCAUCUGUGAUCUCUGGUAGCCUCAGUGUCAUGAUAUCGUCAUCGUCUGAUGUUCCCAUGAGUGUCAUUUCAGGUCUCUCCAAUAUGCUAACCUCCUGAGGAGAUUCAGUUCCGAUCGGUGUCGUGUUUUGAAUCGGCCCAGUGGGGACCAUGGGCGUCGGCUGUGAUUCUGGCACAUUCUGGAUCACUGGUGCAAUAUUCUGGAUCACCGGUGCAAUAUUUUGUAUAGCCUGCUCUACGGGUGGGCUCCGGGGAUGAAUUUUUUCUUUAAUCAAAUUCUCCGUUUGAUCAAUCACCUGUUGUUUCACAUGUGGUAAUUUAUUCUUGGCCCAUCUGAUUGCCACCGUGUAGGCCUUUUUCCAGUCCGGGGUAAUAAAAUCCACAAUUUCAUUGAGCCAUUCCUCCAGGCAAGCCUGGUAGUGUUGAAAUAAUAUCAAACAUGUGGUAUAGCCCCAAUUUUUUGCGUUUCCCAUGAUGAGGUCCAUUGUUUGGCCUUUGGGGAAUGCCGGGUUAAUCAUCCCCAUUAAUACCUCGACCAUUCUUUCGAUCAUCUUGGGUUGUGGUUUCCCCCCUGUUGGGUCCACAUUCUGUAAGUGGUGUACCACUUUCAGAAUAUUAUACAAUUUUUGGACCAGCCUUUUAAACCUGGGGUCAGCCGGUUGUAGCCCUCUUUCAAAUCCCCCAUUCCUUUGGGGAGGUCUCCUUGGGUCUGGUCCCAUCCAACCACGGCUCACUGCGGCCGCAUAUGAAUAAGGACGGGAAUCCGGUUUACGGAAAGACCAUGGGGGAGGCACUGGCGGGUUAGGAAAUUGAGGCUGAACCCUUCCACCCCGAUGGUCAAAUGCCACCGGCCGACCGCCGGAGCGAAAGGGAGGUGCACUGGCCUUCCACCCCUGGAAUCUCCCUCCACCUUGAUUCCCAACUCCCGUCUGAUAUCCAUUCUGGCCUCGGCGACCAUACCGGGCCACUGUCCAUCCCUCAUCCAUCAUUUUGUUGUAGAUUUACGUAAUUUUUAUUUUUAUGAACUCUUUUUUUGUUUUUUUAUAUUUUUUAUUUUUGUAAUUUUUUUGUUGUUAUAGUAUAUAUUUUUGUAAUGUUUUUGUAUAUUUUGUUGUAUUUUUUCAGUUUUUAUUGUUUUUGUAUCCGUUUCUUAGUUUUCUGUCCUUGUCAUAAAGUUACUGAUUUUCCUGUCGCCUUUGCUAUAUAAUUAAUCAAUGUUCUAUUGUCUAGUCUAUAAAUUGUAUGUUCUACAAUGAACUAUCAGGUAUAGUAUUGAUAAUGUAUUGUAAAGAUGCCAAAAGAAUAUUUUUUUCAAAAAAAAUUUUUUUAAUAAAGAAAUAAAAAAUAAUAAAGAAACUAUCAAACAAAAGUUGUUUUCAUUCAAUUGUACUUGUAUUUAUCCAAUUAUAUGUUUGUGUGUGCCAACAACAACGUUUCGGCUUAUGUCAAGCCUUCUUCAGGUUUUAGCACACAAUUUCUAUGAUCCUACUGUUGUAGCAAGAGCUGUUACUCGUUCAAAAACAAACAUGAAAUGACCGGAUUUGGCUGGUUCCCUAUUUAUAGCCUCUGUCUCAGUGACUCCUCCUUCGUCUUUACCAGCGUAUUUAUUCCAAUGCCCUUCAUUCACCAGUCUUAUUCUUAUGUGCAAUUAGUGUAAAUAGUGUAUAUAUAUAUAUAUAUGUUUUUAAUUAAUUAAUUAAUUAAUUUAAUCCUGUAUAUAGUAUGUUAGUGAUUAUUAUUUAGUUUUUUAACUCUUUAAUUCUAGAAUUCCUUAAAUAAACAAAUGAAUAACUGAUCGAUUAUAGAAUUGAAAUUAGGGUUAAUUAGGGUUAAUUAGGGUUAAUUGAAAAUUAGGUUGAGUCAAUUUUAGUGUUAUCAUCAAUUAGGGUGGGAUCAAAUGGUUAAGGUUAGGGUAAGGUUAGAAUUAGGAUUAAUCCAAUUAGGGUUGAGUGUGAUUAGGAUUAAUUAAAAAUUAGGGUUAACAAAUGGUUAAGGUUAGGGUUAAAUCAAAGUUAGGGUUAGUAAAUCUAGGGUUGGGAUUAAUUUAACAUUGGGUAAACUAGGGUUACUUACAAUUAGGGUUAACCAAUCAAGGGUUAACUAAAAUUAGGGUUGGAUGAAAUGGUUAAGAUUAGGGUUAGAUUAGAAGUUGGAUCAAUUAAAUUAUGAUUAUAUUAAUUUAACAUUGGGUAAACUAGGGUUACUUACAAUUAGGGUUAACCAAUUAAGGGUUGACUGAAAUUAGGGUUGGAUGAAAUGGUUAAGAUUAGGGUUAGAUUAGAAAUUGGAGUCAUUGAAUUAUGGUUAAGUGGAAUUAGGGUAAAAUUAAAAUUAGGGUGGACAAAUGGUUAAGGUUAGGGUAAGGUUAAAAUUAGGAUUAAUCCAAUUAGGGUUGAGUGUGAUUAGGAUUAAUUAAAAAUUAGGGUUAACAAAUGGUUAAGGUUAGGGUUAAAUCAAAGUUAGGGUUAGUAAAUCUAGGGUUGGGAUUAGGUUAACAUUGGGUAAACUAGGGUUACUUACAGUUUGGUGAAAUGGUUAAGGUUAGGGUUAAAUUAGAAUUUGGAUUAGUUGAAUUAGGGUUACAUGGAAUCAGGGUAUAAUUAAAAUUUAAAUUAGGGUGAAGAUUAGAGCUAAAUUAGAAUUAGGAUUAUUUAGGGUUAACUGAAUUUAGGUUGGGAUCAAAUGGUUAGGUUAAAUAAGCAGUAAUAUGCAUGUGUAUCUAAAUAAAUUUUCUAAUCCUAAAAAAUGUUUUUGUAAUUUUCUUCUGUCAAUUGUCCCUCAUAAUUUCAACCCAUCUUUUUAUUUAACCCAUAUGGUUGUUUUGUCGCUAAUUUAUGUAUCCAUUGUCUUUCUCUACAUUUUCUUUCUAAAUCUGUCCAAUUAAAGUUUUUUUGUAAUCCAGCCAUUCGUAAUGACUCUAAUCCAUGUAUUAGGAAAUGCUGUACCAGGGGUGUGUCCAUUUCUUUUUUAUUUUUAAUAUUAUACCUAUGCUGUGUAAUUCGUGCUGAUAACGAAUUCUUUGUUUCCCCUACAUAUUUAAUCCCACAUUUAUUACAAAUUAUUAAAUAAAUACAAUUUGUGGACCUCGCAGUAAAUGUUUGUUCAAUUUUUAUGAUAGUUUUCUCCACUGUGUUUUUGAUAAAUUUUAGUUUCAACAAUUGUUUAUCUAGUAAUAAUUGUUUUUGUGUUAAUAGUGAUGGUAAUUUGGCUCUGACUAACAAAUCUUUCAAAUUCUUAUUCCUCCUAUAUGCCGAGAUUAUGUUAAAUUUUGGGAUUCCUGUAGUCGUUUCCGAAAUUUCCUGCAAAUUUCGUUUUAUUUUAUUGUGUAGUACCUUGCCUACUGUACAGAAAUUUGUAAUGAGAGGAAUAACAUUUUCUUUCGUUUGUUUUUUGUUGAGAAAUGUUUUCAGAUGAUUUCUUAAAUAUGAUCUCGAAUACCCUCUUUUUCGUAGGGUAUCAAAUAAGAUCUUCACCGCUUCCCUAAAAUCCUCCUCCCUCGUGCAGAUUCGGUGAAAGCGCAGAAUCUGGGAUUUUACAAUUCCUUUAAAAGUAUGAUUUGGAUGGAAGCUAAAUUUAUGCAAUAAUGCGUGAGUAUCUGUUGCCUUGAAAUACACUUUAAUAUCCAAUCGAUGAUUUUCCUGAAAAUUGGGUCCCUUAAAUAUUGUAGUAUCUAAAAAGUCAAUAGAAUUUUGCUUAAUUUCUGCUUUAAGUUUAAUUGAUGGAUCCUGUGAAUUUAGUGUUUCCUUGAAAUUUUCAAAUUCUUGUUUAGUCCCUAUCCAUAAUCCCCAAAUGUCGUCCAAAUACCGUAGAUAACUAGCCGGUUUCUUUUCACAUUUGGCCAGUGCUUUUUCUUCCCAGUUGGCCAUAAAAAUAUUGGCAUAUGCUGGAGCAAAUUUUUUACCCAUUGCUGUUCCCUUAAUUUGCAAAUAAUAUUUUUCAUUGAAUACAAAGUCAUUUCUAGUUAAAUUAAUUUCUAAUAAUUGUAAUAAUUCAUCAUCUGGUCUGUUUGGAUCUGGGUAUUUCUGGAAAAUUUGUUUUACACAUUCAAUUCCUGCCGGAAUAGGAAUAUUUGUAUAUAAACUGUUAACAUCCAUCGAAAAAAACCAAAAGUCCGAGGUUAUUGUAACGUCUUUUACCAUCUCUAUAAAAUGGUAUGUGUCUCUCACAUAGGAUGGAUGUUUGAUCGAAAGUGGAUUUAGAUAAUGAUCCAAAUAUUCUGCGGUGAAAUAUGUAUCACUCCCACAGUCUGAUACUAUGGGUCUCCCUGGGGGAAUUUCAAAUGGAAUUGUCCAUUUCUCCGGACUUUUAUGAAUUUUUGGGAGAAUAUAAAAUCUCCUCUCUCUUGGUUCUGAGGUUCCAAGUAGGUACUGUUUUUGUUUUCCAUUGAUAAAUUUUUUCUUUUUUAGAUUGUUUAUAAUUUCCUUUAUUUUUGGUAGUGUUUCUCUAUAAAUGGGUUUUUCCAAUUUUUUGUAAUAUUCUGUGUCAUUCAAUUGUCUUUCUACUUCCAUUAUAUAUUGUUCUCUACUUAGAAUCACUACUGACGAGCCUUUAUCAGCCGGUUUAAUGACUAUAUGUUUUGUAUGCAUUAAUUCUCGUAAGGCUUUUACUUCUUCUACAGACAUAUUGUAUUUUUCAGUAGUCGGUAAGUAGUGUUUUUUUAUUGUCUGCCAAUCUUUUUGUAUUAAUUGUCCCACUUCUGGUGGUAAUUUAUCCAUAGGUGGUUUCCAAUCAGAAGAGCCUGUAAAUGGUGGUCUCUCCUUACCCAUCGAAUCCUUAAAGACUUAGAGGCUGACCAAGUUUAAAGUCUUCCCCCAGUGGUCAAGCAUAGCGGUCGCCGUUUCUUUUGUCCAGUGGAUUCCAUCCUCCUCCACCUGGAAUUGGUCCUCAGAUCUUCUGGUGGUACCGUUUUCUCCAUCAGUUGGGAUUGUGGUGGUAUGAUGCGAGUGGAGGACUCCGGGAGAACCUCCUCCUCUUCUACCUCUUCAUCUGCCCGCCAUUGGUUCAAUACCUGGGUAUUGUUUCGUCAACAGGUUCCAUUUGAGGUCUCACAAUGAGAUCCUCUUCCACGCCACCUUGGAGCCAGGAUUCUACCCUAGCCUUUCGUGAGGUCCUCGGCGUCUCUAUAAAUUUUUCCAUUGGAGAUCGAUGCACUAAAGCUCCAUCUGUGAUCUCUGGUAGCCUCAGUGUCAUGAUAUCGUCAUCGUCUGAUGUUCCCAUGAGUGUCAUUUCAGGUCUCUCCAAUAUGCUAACCUCCUGAGGAGAUUCAGUUCCGAUCGGUGUCGUGUUUUGAAUCGGCCCAGUGGGGACCAUGGGCGUCGGCUGUGAUUCUGGCACAUUCUGGAUCACUGGUGCAAUAUUCUGGAUCACCGGUGCAAUAUUUUGUAUAGCCUGCUCUACGGGUGGGCUCCGGGGAUGAAUUUUUUCUUUAAUCAAAUUCUCCGUUUGAUCAAUCACCUGUUGUUUCACAUGUGGUAAUUUAUUCUUGGCCCAUCUGAUUGCCACCGUGUAGGCCUUUUUCCAGUCCGGGGUAAUAAAAUCCACAAUUUCAUUGAGCCAUUCCUCCAGGCAAGCCUGGUAGUGUUGAAAUAAUAUCAAACAUGUGGUAUAGCCCCAAUUUUUUGCGUUUCCCAUGAUGAGGUCCAUUGUUUGGCCUUUGGGGAAUGCCGGGUUAAUCAUCCCCAUUAAUACCUCGACCAUUCUUUCGAUCAUCUUGGGUUGUGGUUUCCCCCCUGUUGGGUCCACAUUCUGUAAGUGGUGUACCACUUUCAGAAUAUUAUACAAUUUUUGGACCAGCCUUUUAAACCUGGGGUCAGCCGGUUGUAGCCCUCUUUCAAAUCCCCCAUUCCUUUGGGGAGGUCUCCUUGGGUCUGGUCCCAUCCAACCACGGCUCACUGCGGCCGCAUAUGAAUAAGGACGGGAAUCCGGUUUACGGAAAGACCAUGGGGGAGGCACUGGCGGGUUAGGAAAUUGAGGCUGAACCCUUCCACCCCGAUGGUCAAAUGCCACCGGCCGACCGCCGGAGCGAAAGGGAGGUGCACUGGCCUUCCACCCCUGGAAUCUCCCUCCACCUUGAUUCCCAACUCCCGUCUGAUAUCCAUUCUGGCCUCGGCGACCAUACCGGGCCACUGUCCAUCCCUCAUCCAUCAUUUUGUUGUAGAUUUACGUAAUUUUUAUUUUUAUGAACUCUUUUUUUGUUUUUUUAUAUUUUUUAUUUUUGUAAUUUUUUUGUUGUUAUAGUAUAUAUUUUUGUAAUGUUUUUGUAUAUUUUGUUGUAUUUUUUCAGUUUUUAUUGUUUUUGUAUCCGUUUCUUAGUUUUCUGUCCUUGUCAUAAAGUUACUGAUUUUCCUGUCGCCUUUGCUAUAUAAUUAAUCAAUGUUCUAUUGUCUAGUCUAUAAAUUGUAUGUUCUACAAUGAACUAUCAGGUAUAGUAUUGAUAAUGUAUUGUAAAGAUGCCAAAAGAAUAUUUUUUUCAAAAAAAAUUUUUUUAAUAAAGAAAUAAAAAAUAAUAAAGAAACUAUCAAACAAAAGUUGUUUUCAUUCAAUUGUACUUGUAUUUAUCCAAUUAUAUGUUUGUGUGUGCCAACAACAACGUUUCGGCUUAUGUCAAGCCUUCUUCAGGUUUUAGCACACAAUUUCUAUGAUCCUACUGUUGUAGCAAGAGCUGUUACUCGUUCAAAAACAAACAUGAAAUGACCGGAUUUGGCUGGUUCCCUAUUUAUAGCCUCUGUCUCAGUGACUCCUCCUUCGUCUUUACCAGCGUAUUUAUUCCAAUGCCCUUCAUUCACCAGUCUUAUUCUUAUGUGCAAUUAGUGUAAAUAGUGUAUAUAUAUAUAUAUAUGUUUUUAAUUAAUUAAUUAAUUAAUUUAAUCCUGUAUAUAGUAUGUUAGUGAUUAUUAUUUAGUUUUUUAACUCUUUAAUUCUAGAAUUCCUUAAAUAAACAAAUGAAUAACUGAUCGAUUAUAGAAUUGAAAUUAGGGUUAAUUAGGGUUAAUUAGGGUUAAUUGAAAAUUAGGUUGAGUCAAUUUUAGUGUUAUCAUCAAUUAGGGUGGGAUCAAAUGGUUAAGGUUAGGGUAAGGUUAGAAUUAGGAUUAAUCCAAUUAGGGUUGAGUGUGAUUAGGAUUAAUUAAAAAUUAGGGUUAACAAAUGGUUAAGGUUAGGGUUAAAUCAAAGUUAGGGUUAGUAAAUCUAGGGUUGGGAUUAAUUUAACAUUGGGUAAACUAGGGUUACUUACAAUUAGGGUUAACCAAUCAAGGGUUAACUAAAAUUAGGGUUGGAUGAAAUGGUUAAGAUUAGGGUUAGAUUAGAAGUUGGAUCAAUUAAAUUAUGAUUAUAUUAAUUUAACAUUGGGUAAACUAGGGUUACUUACAAUUAGGGUUAACCAAUUAAGGGUUGACUGAAAUUAGGGUUGGAUGAAAUGGUUAAGAUUAGGGUUAGAUUAGAAAUUGGAGUCAUUGAAUUAUGGUUAAGUGGAAUUAGGGUAAAAUUAAAAUUAGGGUGGACAAAUGGUUAAGGUUAGGGUAAGGUUAAAAUUAGGAUUAAUCCAAUUAGGGUUGAGUGUGAUUAGGAUUAAUUAAAAAUUAGGGUUAACAAAUGGUUAAGGUUAGGGUUAAAUCAAAGUUAGGGUUAGUAAAUCUAGGGUUGGGAUUAGGUUAACAUUGGGUAAACUAGGGUUACUUACAGUUUGGUGAAAUGGUUAAGGUUAGGGUUAAAUUAGAAUUUGGAUUAGUUGAAUUAGGGUUACAUGGAAUCAGGGUAUAAUUAAAAUUUAAAUUAGGGUGAAGAUUAGAGCUAAAUUAGAAUUAGGAUUAUUUAGGGUUAACUGAAUUUAGGUUGGGAUCAAAUGGUUAGGUUAAAUAAGCAGUAAUAUGCAUGUGUAUCUAAAUAAAUUUUCUAAUCCUAAAAAAUGUUUUUGUAAUUUUCUUCUGUCAAUUGUCCCUCAUAAUUUCAACCCAUCUUUUUAUUUAACCCAUAUGGUUGUUUUGUCGCUAAUUUAUGUAUCCAUUGUCUUUCUCUACAUUUUCUUUCUAAAUCUGUCCAAUUAAAGUUUUUUUGUAAUCCAGCCAUUCGUAAUGACUCUAAUCCAUGUAUUAGGAAAUGCUGUACCAGGGGUGUGUCCAUUUCUUUUUUAUUUUUAAUAUUAUACCUAUGCUGUGUAAUUCGUGCUGAUAACGAAUUCUUUGUUUCCCCUACAUAUUUAAUCCCACAUUUAUUACAAAUUAUUAAAUAAAUACAAUUUGUGGACCUCGCAGUAAAUGUUUGUUCAAUUUUUAUGAUAGUUUUCUCCACUGUGUUUUUGAUAAAUUUUAGUUUCAACAAUUGUUUAUCUAGUAAUAAUUGUUUUUGUGUUAAUAGUGAUGGUAAUUUGGCUCUGACUAACAAAUCUUUCAAAUUCUUAUUCCUCCUAUAUGCCGAGAUUAUGUUAAAUUUUGGGAUUCCUGUAGUCGUUUCCGAAAUUUCCUGCAAAUUUCGUUUUAUUUUAUUGUGUAGUACCUUGCCUACUGUACAGAAAUUUGUAAUGAGAGGAAUAACAUUUUCUUUCGUUUGUUUUUUGUUGAGAAAUGUUUUCAGAUGAUUUCUUAAAUAUGAUCUCGAAUACCCUCUUUUUCGUAGGGUAUCAAAUAAGAUCUUCACCGCUUCCCUAAAAUCCUCCUCCCUCGUGCAGAUUCGGUGAAAGCGCAGAAUCUGGGAUUUUACAAUUCCUUUAAAAGUAUGAUUUGGAUGGAAGCUAAAUUUAUGCAAUAAUGCGUGAGUAUCUGUUGCCUUGAAAUACACUUUAAUAUCCAAUCGAUGAUUUUCCUGAAAAUUGGGUCCCUUAAAUAUUGUAGUAUCUAAAAAGUCAAUAGAAUUUUGCUUAAUUUCUGCUUUAAGUUUAAUUGAUGGAUCCUGUGAAUUUAGUGUUUCCUUGAAAUUUUCAAAUUCUUGUUUAGUCCCUAUCCAUAAUCCCCAAAUGUCGUCCAAAUACCGUAGAUAACUAGCCGGUUUCUUUUCACAUUUGGCCAGUGCUUUUUCUUCCCAGUUGGCCAUAAAAAUAUUGGCAUAUGCUGGAGCAAAUUUUUUACCCAUUGCUGUUCCCUUAAUUUGCAAAUAAUAUUUUUCAUUGAAUACAAAGUCAUUUCUAGUUAAAUUAAUUUCUAAUAAUUGUAAUAAUUCAUCAUCUGGUCUGUUUGGAUCUGGGUAUUUCUGGAAAAUUUGUUUUACACAUUCAAUUCCUGCCGGAAUAGGAAUAUUUGUAUAUAAACUGUUAACAUCCAUCGAAAAAAACCAAAAGUCCGAGGUUAUUGUAACGUCUUUUACCAUCUCUAUAAAAUGGUAUGUGUCUCUCACAUAGGAUGGAUGUUUGAUCGAAAGUGGAUUUAGAUAAUGAUCCAAAUAUUCUGCGGUGAAAUAUGUAUCACUCCCACAGUCUGAUACUAUGGGUCUCCCUGGGGGAAUUUCAAAUGGAAUUGUCCAUUUCUCCGGACUUUUAUGAAUUUUUGGGAGAAUAUAAAAUCUCCUCUCUCUUGGUUCUGAGGUUCCAAGUAGGUACUGUUUUUGUUUUCCAUUGAUAAAUUUUUUCUUUUUUAGAUUGUUUAUAAUUUCCUUUAUUUUUGGUAGUGUUUCUCUAUAAAUGGGUUUUUCCAAUUUUUUGUAAUAUUCUGUGUCAUUCAAUUGUCUUUCUACUUCCAUUAUAUAUUGUUCUCUACUUAGAAUCACUACUGACGAGCCUUUAUCAGCCGGUUUAAUGACUAUAUGUUUUGUAUGCAUUAAUUCUCGUAAGGCUUUUACUUCUUCUACAGACAUAUUGUAUUUUUCAGUAGUCGGUAAGUAGUGUUUUUUUAUUGUCUGCCAAUCUUUUUGUAUUAAUUGUCCCACUUCUGGUGGUAAUUUAUCCAUAGGUGGUUUCCAAUCAGAAGAGCCUGUAAAUGGUGGUCUCUCCUUACCCAUCGAAUCCUUAAAGACUUAGAGGCUGACCAAGUUUAAAGUCUUCCCCCAGUGGUCAAGCAUAGCGGUCGCCGUUUCUUUUGUCCAGUGGAUUCCAUCCUCCUCCACCUGGAAUUGGUCCUCAGAUCUUCUGGUGGUACCGUUUUCUCCAUCAGUUGGGAUUGUGGUGGUAUGAUGCGAGUGGAGGACUCCGGGAGAACCUCCUCCUCUUCUACCUCUUCAUCUGCCCGCCAUUGGUUCAAUACCUGGGUAUUGUUUCGUCAACAGGUUCCAUUUGAGGUCUCACAAUGAGAUCCUCUUCCACGCCACCUUGGAGCCAGGAUUCUACCCUAGCCUUUCGUGAGGUCCUCGGCGUCUCUAUAAAUUUUUCCAUUGGAGAUCGAUGCACUAAAGCUCCAUCUGUGAUCUCUGGUAGCCUCAGUGUCAUGAUAUCGUCAUCGUCUGAUGUUCCCAUGAGUGUCAUUUCAGGUCUCUCCAAUAUGCUAACCUCCUGAGGAGAUUCAGUUCCGAUCGGUGUCGUGUUUUGAAUCGGCCCAGUGGGGACCAUGGGCGUCGGCUGUGAUUCUGGCACAUUCUGGAUCACUGGUGCAAUAUUCUGGAUCACCGGUGCAAUAUUUUGUAUAGCCUGCUCUACGGGUGGGCUCCGGGGAUGAAUUUUUUCUUUAAUCAAAUUCUCCGUUUGAUCAAUCACCUGUUGUUUCACAUGUGGUAAUUUAUUCUUGGCCCAUCUGAUUGCCACCGUGUAGGCCUUUUUCCAGUCCGGGGUAAUAAAAUCCACAAUUUCAUUGAGCCAUUCCUCCAGGCAAGCCUGGUAGUGUUGAAAUAAUAUCAAACAUGUGGUAUAGCCCCAAUUUUUUGCGUUUCCCAUGAUGAGGUCCAUUGUUUGGCCUUUGGGGAAUGCCGGGUUAAUCAUCCCCAUUAAUACCUCGACCAUUCUUUCGAUCAUCUUGGGUUGUGGUUUCCCCCCUGUUGGGUCCACAUUCUGUAAGUGGUGUACCACUUUCAGAAUAUUAUACAAUUUUUGGACCAGCCUUUUAAACCUGGGGUCAGCCGGUUGUAGCCCUCUUUCAAAUCCCCCAUUCCUUUGGGGAGGUCUCCUUGGGUCUGGUCCCAUCCAACCACGGCUCACUGCGGCCGCAUAUGAAUAAGGACGGGAAUCCGGUUUACGGAAAGACCAUGGGGGAGGCACUGGCGGGUUAGGAAAUUGAGGCUGAACCCUUCCACCCCGAUGGUCAAAUGCCACCGGCCGACCGCCGGAGCGAAAGGGAGGUGCACUGGCCUUCCACCCCUGGAAUCUCCCUCCACCUUGAUUCCCAACUCCCGUCUGAUAUCCAUUCUGGCCUCGGCGACCAUACCGGGCCACUGUCCAUCCCUCAUCCAUCAUUUUGUUGUAGAUUUACGUAAUUUUUAUUUUUAUGAACUCUUUUUUUGUUUUUUUAUAUUUUUUAUUUUUGUAAUUUUUUUGUUGUUAUAGUAUAUAUUUUUGUAAUGUUUUUGUAUAUUUUGUUGUAUUUUUUCAGUUUUUAUUGUUUUUGUAUCCGUUUCUUAGUUUUCUGUCCUUGUCAUAAAGUUACUGAUUUUCCUGUCGCCUUUGCUAUAUAAUUAAUCAAUGUUCUAUUGUCUAGUCUAUAAAUUGUAUGUUCUACAAUGAACUAUCAGGUAUAGUAUUGAUAAUGUAUUGUAAAGAUGCCAAAAGAAUAUUUUUUUCAAAAAAAAUUUUUUUAAUAAAGAAAUAAAAAAUAAUAAAGAAACUAUCAAACAAAAGUUGUUUUCAUUCAAUUGUACUUGUAUUUAUCCAAUUAUAUGUUUGUGUGUGCCAACAACAACGUUUCGGCUUAUGUCAAGCCUUCUUCAGGUUUUAGCACACAAUUUCUAUGAUCCUACUGUUGUAGCAAGAGCUGUUACUCGUUCAAAAACAAACAUGAAAUGACCGGAUUUGGCUGGUUCCCUAUUUAUAGCCUCUGUCUCAGUGACUCCUCCUUCGUCUUUACCAGCGUAUUUAUUCCAAUGCCCUUCAUUCACCAGUCUUAUUCUUAUGUGC
Long non-coding RNA from Phyllopteryx taeniolatus (common seadragon), 26642 nucleotides. RefSeq lists it as uncharacterized. Lineage: Eukaryota; Metazoa; Chordata; Actinopteri; Syngnathiformes; Syngnathidae. The record is from RefSeq and is a predicted model, not a curated record. The transcript has 21 exons.